Venturia canescens is the source of this 666-nucleotide long non-coding RNA. RefSeq lists it as uncharacterized. The record is from RefSeq and is a predicted model, not a curated record. NCBI's taxonomy places the organism in Eukaryota, Metazoa, Arthropoda, Insecta, Hymenoptera, Ichneumonidae. The transcript is spliced from 3 exons.
UAGAAAGGGGAGUGAGAUUCGCGCGUGCCCGGCCAAUAUGACGAGACGAAUAUGAGUGUGAAUCGAACGAAACAAAAUGAACGAGAGAAUUUCAUCCUCAGAUGGACCGUGCAAGGUGGAGAAAGAAAUAAGUGGAAAAAAAGUAUAAGCUCCGACCGCACAUGUAUUUCGGUAAGAAAAUGAAGCAAGAUUAAAGUGCGUGAGCGUCGUUUGAUCGGGAGGAAGAGAGAAAGGAAGAUAAAGACCGGCCAGGUCGACCGUAUGCCGUGCUCACACGGUCUUGGGGUCAGCUCUGAGUGUCGAGGUCGCAAACAUACUCGAUGCGUGACCUUAACCUCUUCGACCUUGACACAUCUCAUCCACGUGAUCUCUCUUGGCAAAUCUGCUGAGCACACAUACCCAAGUUAAACUCCAACCCGGUAAUCUCGAUUUGCAAAGACCUUUCAACUCUAUCAAAGAAUUAUAAGUACCAAUCUUUUCAAUGUUCUUCAACCACCCGAUCUUCCAUGAUAGAGAUCUUCGUGUCCGUAGCGAGUAUGAAGUUCACAGAAGUUUAACAUGGCAAAAAUUGAUUUAAAAGAGUGACAUUCAAAACGUCGACUCCGAAGAAUUAUAGGACUCCGAGCAAGGACGAUGUUGAGUGGAGAACAGAAAUAAGAAAAAAAA